RNAcentral lists this ribosomal RNA (1055 nucleotides) under uncultured bacterium. Its description in RNAcentral is "bacterial SSU rRNA". It matches the Rfam family "Bacterial small subunit ribosomal RNA", at positions 420 to 1504 of the family's 1533-position model. The record is from RNAcentral.
GGGUUGUAAAGCUCUUUCGUCGGGGAAGAAAAUGACUGUACCCGAAUAAGAAGGUCCGGCUAACUUCGUGCCAGCAGCCGCGGUAAUACGAAGGGACCUAGCGUAGUUCGGAAUUACUGGGCUUAAAGAGUUCGUAGGUGGUUGAAAAAGUUGGUGGUGAAAUCCCAGAGCUUAACUCUGGAACUGCCAUCAAAACUUUUCAGCUAGAGUAUGAUAGAGGAAAGUAGAAUUUCUAGUGUAGAGGUGAAAUUCGUAGAUAUUAGAAAGAAUACCAAUUGCGAAGGCAGCUUUCUGGAUCAUUACUGACACUGAGGAACGAAAGCAUGGGUAGCGAAGAGGAUUAGAUACCCUCGUAGUCCAUGCCGUAAACGAUGUGUGUUAGACGUUGGAAAUUUAUUUUCAGUGUCGCAGCGAAAGCAUUAAACACACCGCCUGGGGAGUACGACCGCAAGGUUAAAACUCAAAUGAAUUGACGGGGACCCGCACAAGUAGUGGAGCAUGUGGUUUAAUUCGAAGAUACGCGCAGAACCUUACCAACACUUGACAUGUUCGUCGCGACUUUAAGAGAUUAAAGUUUUCGGUUCGGCCGGACGAAACACAGGUGCUGCAUGGCUGUCGUCAGCUCGUGUCGUGAGAUGUUGGGUUAAGUCCCGCAACGAGCGCAACCCUCACUUUUAGUUGCCAUCAUUAAGUUGGGCACUCUGAAAGAACUGCCAGUGAUAAGCUGGAGGAAGGUGGGGAUGACGUCAAGUCCUCAUGGCCCUUACGUGUUGGGCUACACACGUGCUACAAUGGUAUCUACAACAGGAAGCAAGACGGCGACGUUAAGCAAAUCCUUAAAAGAUACCUCAGUUCGGAUUGCACUCUGCAACUCGAGUGCAUGAAGCUGGAAUUACUAGUAAUCGUGGAUCAGCGUGCCACGGUGAAUGCGUUCCCGGGUCUUGUACACACCGCCCGUCACACCAUGGGAGUUGGUUCUACCUUAAGGCAAGGUUUUAAACCCUUGACCACGGUAUAGUCAGCGACUGGGGUGAAGUCGUAACAAGGUAGCCGUA